Molecule: long non-coding RNA, 1167 nt
Filed under: Cricetulus griseus (Chinese hamster)
Lineage: Eukaryota; Metazoa; Chordata; Mammalia; Rodentia; Cricetidae
Description: lncRNA (ENSCGRG00015029340.1)
Source: RNAcentral
GUAUCUGCAAAGAUGAGUUCAUUACAGAAGAAGGAGCAGGGCAGUAAACAAGAGCUUUGAAAGGGGAAGGAAGCCAGGAGAAAGCCAGCUCCAUUAGUCACGCAGCUGCAUAUCCUGUCACAAAGGACCCCAGUUGAGUAAUCGCCCAAAAAUAUGCCUGUUAUUUUUUUUCUGUCAGAAAAAAAUGGGGCCUGCCAAAAUGUACUGUAAAAAAAAAAAAAGAAAAAAUCUGGUCAUUCAGCCCCAGAAGGGGGAAAGAAAAUAAAGAAGAAACAGGCGCGGCUUGGAAGUGUUCUUCCAACUUUUCCCCGCUUGUCUUUGCAAGAAAAAGCUCUCAAACUGCUCAUGGGACCGAGCUUGCAGUGGUGGAGGACAGCUGGCUCCUUGGAGACCCUGCUCCCAGAGUCCUUGCUGUCAUGGGGUGCCCAGAUGUUAAGAAGGCAAUGACAAUGGAAGAAGGCAGCAGGAAGCAAGGGAGAGAGCGAAGAAAGGGAGUCCAGAGAGCAAAUAAGUCUUCUGAAGAUCCUUAUAUGAGGACUUCAGGGCUCCACCGUGAACCUGUGGCAGUCCACACCUGUUCCAAGAGCCCUGAUGAACCCUGGAGGGGCACUGACUUCCGUCCAUCAACCACACCUGCCUCACUGUCCACGGGCAGCUUUUCUAAUGGGCUCAGCAAAACCAACUUUGACUCGGGUCUAAGCCAUCUUUGUGAUGUUUGGGCUACAGAUGGAACGAGAGCAGGCAUAUAAGGAUAUCUGACUUGGGGACAGGCUGAAGAAUUGAGGCUCAAAAUCCAGCAAGGAUACAUGCAUCUCAGCUACUGAGGCAGGAGGAUUAUUUGAGCUUAUGAAUUCAAGGUUCAAAAGGGCUAGGUGUUCUGCAAGGUGGUUCAGUGAGUAAAGGCUUAGCACUAAAACUGAGGACCUGAGUUCCAUCGCCGGGAUCCACAUGGUGAGCAGCCGAGGAGACCUUUGCAGGAACUAGCAUCCAGCUAUGCAGCUACUCCCUCCUCAGCCCAAAGACCAAGCUCGGGUCCCCUGCAGAUUGCUGUAGAAAAAAGCUCAGUUAUAUCAGAACCAGGACUUUCUUCAGCCCUUCCAUUUUUCUGAUCCUGUCUGAGGUAUCCACUCUGACCAAAGCCUGCUCUGAGAGGAGAGUACAUGGGGG